Molecule: ribosomal RNA, 253 nt
Filed under: uncultured bacterium
Lineage: Bacteria
Description: partial 16S ribosomal RNA
Rfam family: Bacterial small subunit ribosomal RNA
Source: RNAcentral
UACAGAGGUCUCAAGCGUUGUUCGGAUUCAUUGGGCGUAAAGGGUGCGUAGGUGGCGCCGUAAGUCGGGUGUGAAAUUUCGGAGCUUAACUCCGAAACUGCAUUCGAUACUGCGGUGCUUGAGGACUGGAGAGGAGACUGGAAUUCAUGGUGUAGCAGUGAAAUGCGUUGAUAUCAUCAGGAACACCGGAGGCGAAGGCGGCUCACUGGGGGUCUUCUGACGCUGAGGAACGAAAGCCAGGGGAGCGAACGGG